ACGUGAGCAACCUGCCCCUCACUCUGGGAUAAGCGCUGGAAACGGCGUCUAAUACUGGAUACGAGUUGGAGCCGCAUGGUUACCAACUGGAAAGAUUUUUUGGUGGGGGAUGGGCUCGCGGCCUAUCAGCUUGUUGGUGAGGUAAUGGCUCACCAAGGCGUCGACGGGUAGCCGGCCUGAGAGGGUGACCGGCCACACUGGGACUGAGACACGGCCCAGACUCCUACGGGAGGCAGCAGUGGGGAAUAUUGCACAAUGGGCGGAAGCCUGAUGCAGCAACGCCGCGUGAGGGAUGACGGCCUUCGGGUUGUAAACCUCUUUUAGCAGGGAAGAAGCGAAAGUGACGGUACCUGCAGAAAAAGCACCGGCUAACUACGUGCCAGCAGCCGCGGUAAUACGUAGGGUGCAAGCGUUAUCCGGAAUUAUUGGGCGUAAAGAGCUCGUAGGCGGUUUGUCGCGUCUGCUGUGAAAUCCCGAGGCUCAACCUCGGGCCUGCAGUGGGUACGGGCAGACUAGAGUGCGGUAGGGGAGAUUGGAAUUCCUGGUGUAGCGGUGGAAUGCGCAGAUAUCAGGAGGAACACCGAUGGCGAAGGCAGAUCUCUGGGCCGUAACUGACGCUGAGGAGCGAAAGGGUGGGGAGCAAACAGGCUUAGAUACCCUGGUAGUCCACCCCGUAAACGUUGGGAACUAGUUGUGGGGUCCUUUCCACGGAUUCCGUGACGCAGCUAACGCAUUAAGUUCCCCGCCUGGGGAGUACGGCCGCAAGGCUAAAACUCAAAGGAAUUGACGGGGACCCGCACAAGCGGCGGAGCAUGCGGAUUAAUUCGAUGCAACGCGAAGAACCUUACCAAGGCUUGACAUACACCAGAACACCGUAGAAAUACGGGACUCUUUGGACACUGGUGAACAGGUGGUGCAUGGUUGUCGUCAGCUCGUGUCGUGAGAUGUUGGGUUAAGUCCCGCAACGAGCGCAACCCUCGUUCUAUGUUGCCAGCACGUAAUGGUGGGAACUCAUGGGAUACUGCCGGGGUCAACUCGGAGGAAGGUGGGGAUGACGUCAAAUCAUCAUGCCCCUUAUGUCUUGGGCUUCACGCAUGCUACAAUGGCCGGUACAAAGGGCUGCAAUACCGUGAGGUGGAGCGAAUCCCAAAAAGCCGGUCCCAGUUCGGAUUGAGGUCUGCAACUCGACCUCAUGAAGUCGGAGUCGCUAGUAAUCGCAGAUCAGCAACGCUGCGGUGAAUACGUUCCCGGGUCUUGUACACACCGCC
RNAcentral lists this ribosomal RNA (1268 nucleotides) under Microbacterium sp. SMX-1S-CPE19. Its description in RNAcentral is "bacterial SSU rRNA". It matches the Rfam family "Bacterial small subunit ribosomal RNA", at positions 115 to 1394 of the family's 1533-position model. Lineage: Bacteria; Bacillati; Actinomycetota; Actinomycetes; Micrococcales; Microbacteriaceae. The record is from RNAcentral.